UACGUAGGGACCAAGCGUUGUUCGGAUUUACUGGGCGUAAAGGGCGCGUAGGCGGCGUGACAAGUCACUUGUGAAAUCUCUGGGCUUAACCCAGAACGGCCAAGUGAAACUGUCGUGCUAGAGUGCGGAAGGGGCAAUCGGAAUUCUCGGUGUAGCGGUGAAGUGCGUAGAUAUCGAGAGGAACACCUGAGGUGAAGACGGGUUGCUGGGCCGACACUGACGCUGAGUGCGCGAAAGCCAGGGGAGCAAACGGG
This 254-nucleotide ribosomal RNA is filed under the name uncultured bacterium. RNAcentral describes it as "partial 16S ribosomal RNA". It matches the Rfam family "Bacterial small subunit ribosomal RNA", at positions 524 to 776 of the family's 1533-position model. The record is from RNAcentral.